CAUUGGUUUUAGCUUGUUGGCUCUAACAAGACAAGUGCCUGUCAGCCCAUGGUAGGGAUUCCAAGGACAGUAGCAAAAACACUUUUCGUGGGCCACAUCAUUGUGUGGGUCAGGGAAAGUGACCCCAGGCCAGUGCAUGCUUCCCAGCUGUCUUUACUGAGUCAGCCAGCCAUGACACCUGUGCAGUCUUGAUUCUAUCAUUGGCCAUCUGUGUGAGCAUGCACUACGAGGCUCCAGUUUCUUUAUCUGUCAGGUGUGAAUAGCUAUGCCCACCCUUUUGUCUUUUGAGGUUAUGGUAAGUUCUGGAGUAGCGAAAGAUCAGGCCGUUCUUUUUAAAGAAAUGUUUUCCUGCCAGACACCAGAGUCUGAGUCAGGCACCAAGCUGCCUCUCCUCCCAGUUAGUAUGUUCACCUACAAAGAAAGUGAUUUAGAGUAGCUGAAGAUGAAAGGAUAUGGCUGACCCCAAGUGUGUGCUGGCAUAUAUGUAUGUAUUCAUGUAUGGAUCUUAGCAACAGAGUUCACUUUCUCUACAGUGGCAAAAUAACACUAAUAUGGGCCAGUGUAUUAUCUGGAAUGUCCCCAUUGUUUAGAACUAAGGGUGAAACUGUCUUAUGAAAUAGAUUUGUACAUGGCUGUUUGGUCCCACUUUGGAGAAGCCAUCAACAGCAGAGCUUAGAAAACACAAGCUUUCUUUUCAUCAGGCAGAUAGCCCUUUGGAUGGUCCAAUGACUUCACUAGAACCUGGUAUUAGGAAGUCCAGGCACACUCCCACUCACCCAGGUGUGGACCAAUGGUCUGGAGGAACCUGGAUAGAUCACACAGCUCCUCAUGCCAGUCUGCAUGGAAAUGUCUCAGCGACAUUCGACUGCUGGGGAGUUGUGGAGCCAAUUUCACAAAGCAAAGGCUUUGUACUUUUCUAAGAAAGUAUUUUAGUCUUCAUUUUCUCUAAUUCUCCUCCCCUGACAAAUGAAACACAAAAUUAUGUUACAAAUGCAGACCCUAAUGGUAAUUUGUUUUCGCUUUUUAUUUAUAAUACCUAAGUUAUUCCUUAAAAAUAUCAAGUUGAACACAAUUGGUUUUGGUGAUAAGAUAUUCAACAUUGUUUUUAAAUUCUUUCUUAUAUGGUAAAUGUAUAUCCAGAUUAAUGUAUCAAAAUUUACCGCAUAAACUAUAAAAUCAUUUUCAAAAUCUCAAUUCCACAAAUAAAGUUCUAUUCUAAUUUAAAAAAAAUAAGGAGACCCAGAAGCCAGGGAGAAUCCUCACCAUUUGCUUUUUCUCUCAUAUCUUGAAGUCUUGUCUCACCCUUUGGUUUUGUCUAUUAACCUCAGACCAUCACGAUGAGACCUUAUUUAAAGGAGCCACAAAUGCAGACAGCCAUUUCCCCUAAGUUCUUCUUUUGUUUUCAGGAUAAUAAAUAUGUAAUUAUUCUAUCAGCCUUCCCACCUCACUGGAAGUGUAAUGAACAGGCAGGGGGCUCUUUACUGCUAAGUCAGGAUCCAGGAUCAGCAUCUUCAACAGGGCUCUACAAGGUAAUUCUAAAAUAUAGUUGCUCCUACUUGGCGAUGAAACCCCAUUGGCCAUCCUUCGUAACCAUUCUGAGCAGCCAAGAGGUACCAAUGCUGUAAAAUGCAAAAGACCAAACUUUUUCCAAGUCUGCUUUUUACAAGAGAAGUGGCUAGCUGACUGACCUGCUCUGAAUAACCCUAGCAACCAGAGACCUACCACCCAUCAAUGUAAUCUGUCUUGUUCCCUGUCAUGUGGAGUUGGGUCCAGCCAGAUUAAAUUUAGCCUCUGGAGGCCACUUGAACUCUGGUCAGUGGUACAGACACAGAAUACUAUAAGUGAGUGAGCUCCAUACAUCAGCUUUCUGGAAAGGGCACCAGCAGCUGAAGAGAGAGAAGGAAAACGGGAGGACCUGUAGAGCUGCUGACCUUGCUGCAAAUAUGGGCUGUCUCCUUGUGCUUCGUGAUAAAGCUCUACUGGUGACUGUUUCUGUCUGUGUGGGCAAUGUUCUACAUCACUACUAGUUACAUCCUCUUCAGAGCUACCUGGAAACCACUUUCAGGGCAAACACCACGAUAGAGACAAUUACAGACAUCCAUAACUGGCCAAAAUACAGAGAACAGCUGAUUGUAGGAUACCCAGCCCAAUUCAUGUAUCUACAAUGCAUGUAUCUACACUGAUGCUCAGGAAGAUCUGAAAAGAGGGAGCAGAAAGACCAAGAAGCAGAGUCUGCUGUGGGAGCUGCACCCAUAAAAUCCCAACAAUGUCCCUAAACAUAGCCUACAUGAUGGCACCAGUUAGCAGGCCAGUGUGGAUGGAAGAAAUCUCACAAAGUUCCACGCCUAGAUGAAGAACUACAGGCAAUCAAUGGCUACUGACAGAUCAGUCUUCUCCAGGGACCAUCCCCUGAUAGGUUAUGCAAUCCCAAGUGACCAACCAUAAAUUGAGCCCUCAUCCAGUGGCUGAUGGAAGCAGAGACAGACAUCCACAGAAAUACACUGAGCUGAAAUCUGGAAUUUAGUUGAAGAGAGGGAAGAAUGAAGAACGAAGGGGUCUGUACCAGGUUGGAGAAACCCACAGAAACAGUUGGCCUGAACAAGGGAGAGCAC
This 2612-nucleotide long non-coding RNA is filed under the name Cricetulus griseus (Chinese hamster). Its description in RNAcentral is "lncRNA (ENSCGRG00015036806.1)". The record is from RNAcentral. Lineage: Eukaryota; Metazoa; Chordata; Mammalia; Rodentia; Cricetidae.